GUCGGGAGUUAGGAAAUGUAAAUCGGUUAAUACCUGGUUUAUUUGACAAAGGCCCCAAAGGAAGCCACGGCUAACUCUGUGCCAGCAGCCGCGGUAAUACAGAGGUGGCAAGCGUUGUUCGGUAUUAUUGGGCGUAAAGAGCACGUAGGUGGUUUUGUAAGUCAGAUGUGAAAGCCUUCUGUUCAAAGGAAGAACGGCAUCUAAAACUACAGAUCUUGAGUGUAGGAGGGGAGAGUGGAACUUCUGGU
RNAcentral lists this ribosomal RNA (248 nucleotides) under uncultured Planctomycetales bacterium. RNAcentral's name for it is "partial 16S ribosomal RNA". It matches the Rfam family "Bacterial small subunit ribosomal RNA", at positions 434 to 674 of the family's 1533-position model. Lineage: Bacteria; Pseudomonadati; Planctomycetota; Planctomycetia; Planctomycetales. The record is from RNAcentral.